This 142-nucleotide unclassified non-coding RNA is filed under the name soil metagenome. RNAcentral describes it as "partial internal transcribed spacer 1". The record is from RNAcentral.
UCAAAACAGCGGACUUCGGUCCUUGCUGCACCCUUGUCUUUUGCUGCACCGUAAUUGUUUCCUCGGCGGGCUUGCCUGCCGGUUGGACAUUAUCAAAACCUUUUUGUAGUUGCAAUCAGCGUCAGAAAAAUCAUAAUUAUUA